GAAAAAACUAUUUGUUUGUCUUGUCUAAUUUAAUUUACGUUAUUUAUCAAACAGACAGGUUAUUUGGGAAGCCAGAUGGACCCAGGCUAAAAUCAUCUGUAUUUCCAACGCGUGAAAAAUGAUGUCAGAGUGGACACCUGAAGAGAGGCGCGCUGUGUGUGGUGGGUGCUCAGCACACAAACUGAACCUCAGCUGCCCCGGAUCCCCCAUCAGCUGUCCCAGAGCCAAUCACAGUUUAUGGCCAACUCCAGCACUGCUCCUCCACGCAGCAGAAACCUGAACCGGCUGUAAUGAAAGAAAACGAUGUUGGGGAUCGAUCGCAAGAGAUUCGCUUCAUUUUUAAGCUCGUGUUUCUGCCCUGCUCCUCAAGGCUGCUUUCAUACAACCCUCCUCCGCUGCUCCCCCUGCGGUGUCCCAUUGAUCACCAAUAGCUGCUGCUGCUCCUGCAGGCGCUGAUGGAGGAGCAGCCCCAGAUGCCCCCGGAGGGCGAUGUCCUCCUGCCCCAAAUCCGCAGUGCCCGAGGAGGGGCUGGGAGCCCUCUGGGCUAUUCCAGGUGGUAAUUAAUGAGGGGGGGCCCCCAAGGGAGGUUCCCUGGUGCCCGCAGCCCUGCUGUGCCCCCAAUUUCCAGCCCCCCCGGUCAGCUGUGACAGGUUUCUGUGCAGAAAGUGUAAUGAACGGCUGAGGCGCUCAAGAUAUUAAUAGGUGGUAUUUCCACGUUCCUAUUUUACAUUAAGCCCGAAGGAGGGCUCUGAACACCCCCCGACCCUUCGCAAUUAAAUAUCAGCUUAGAAAAGCACUUUUCCCUUCCUUCCUUCGCUCCCACUGCCCGGCCCAACGCUGUGGGGUGCUGCCCAGCUGCAGGAUGCUCGGGGGCUGGGGGGGCACAUUGGAUGCUCGGGGUCCCACACCCCCAUUCCCUGGGCAGGCACAGAGCAGGCGCUGCUUUGGCACUCCCCCACACCCCCCCUCCCCUUCCCCGGGUCGCUAUGAAUAAAUCAUUGUUUUAUUA
This is a long non-coding RNA of Gallus gallus (chicken), 1009 nucleotides long. The record is from Ensembl. Lineage: Eukaryota; Metazoa; Chordata; Aves; Galliformes; Phasianidae.